RNAcentral lists this ribosomal RNA (390 nucleotides) under Triticum aestivum (bread wheat). RNAcentral describes it as "partial small subunit ribosomal RNA". The record is from RNAcentral. Lineage: Eukaryota; Viridiplantae; Streptophyta; Magnoliopsida; Poales; Poaceae.
AUGUCAAGAUUGAAAAUCAGUUUUGACAAGAGUGAGGUUUUUACUAUCGGAGGAGAUAACGAAACUGACUUAGUAUAUGCGGACAUGUUUAACUGCCAAGUGGGCACCCUGCCCAUGAGAUAUUUGGGUGUUCCUGUUACAUACUCUACUCUUAAGAAUGUAGAGUUGGAUUUCUUGGAUGGUAAGAUGAUUAAAAAAUUGGAUGCUUGGAUUGCUUAUGCAGCAUCCUCAGGAGCCAGACUCACUUUAUUAGGGUCCAACCUGGAUGGGAUUCCAUCCUAUCUUAUGUUGAUGUUUCUUUUCAAUAAAACUUUUAUUAAAAAAAUGAAUAAACAUCGCAAACGAUUUUUUUGGAGGAAAAAAACAAGAAACAUGGAUACCAUAUGGUGA